GCGCAGUCAAAUGGUCUAACCAAGUUUUCUUCAAUCCUCUGUUCUACAUUCUGGUUUUGAUGCCUUGCUGCCUUCGACAUUAAGGUGGGAAGCUUGGCUGAUUCCACCUUCAGUCAGAAGAUUAAUACAUCUAUGGUUUUAUUUUCCAUGCCAAUAGCUUGAUUAAUGAUUCCUAAUGCAUCUCAGAAAUAAUUGUUUCUGGAGGAAUGACCAUGCCACAGGUGAUUAUCGCUCUAGGACCUGCCCUUGAUAAGAACCAGGGAACCCAUUUAAACAGAAUGAUGAUUGUGUGAGCCUUUAAAUAGCGCCAACACAUCAGGUAUUGGCAUCUAGAUGAUUAGAACUACUAAAGGAACACCCAAGUCGUAGAUGAUCUACAUUUGAUGUAUGAUUUGAAGAUUAGAAGCUGGAGCACAAGGAUUGUGUGAUGGAGUAAACAUUGGUUAUAUAUUUUAGGCGGGUCAGAUAUUAAAGUGGGGUGCUCACACCGCACUUAGGUGGCUUACGGAGAUUACCGAAAUUGGUUUGUGGGUGUUGUGUGCU
This is a long non-coding RNA of Triticum aestivum (bread wheat), 543 nucleotides long. RefSeq lists it as uncharacterized. The transcript is spliced from 4 exons. The record is from RefSeq and is a predicted model, not a curated record. Lineage: Eukaryota; Viridiplantae; Streptophyta; Magnoliopsida; Poales; Poaceae.